RNAcentral lists this long non-coding RNA (838 nucleotides) under Homo sapiens (human). Its description in RNAcentral is "LAMA5 antisense RNA 1 (LAMA5-AS1)". The record is from RNAcentral. Lineage: Eukaryota; Metazoa; Chordata; Mammalia; Primates; Hominidae.
ACCGCAGCAGCCGGGUGUGAGGGCAGGGCUGGGUAUUCGGAGACCUUCAGAAGCCUGGUCACGGAGGGCCUGCCCAGGGACCCCCCUGCCUCUCCCCCCAGGCCCCACGGCGGCAGAGACUCACAGGCAAAGAACUGCCAGGGCUGGUAGGUGCGGCCGAAGUCCAUGGACCGCUCCAGCACCCAGAGGUCCGGCCGGGGUGAGUUGGCAAACUUGAUGAGGACGUAGGCCACGUGGAAGACCUGUGGGCCGAGAGGGCGUCAGGGGAGCCAGGGGCGCCUGGAUUCCCAUGCUCCCAGGGGCCUGGCUCAUUUUCUGCCCCUCAGCAGGUACGCCCGGGAACAGCUGGGUGCUGUUGGCCAGGUAGGCCUGGAAGCCUAGGGCCCCAAGGGGGAGAGUGGGGUCCCCCAGAGCUGCACAAGACCUACAGUCACCCCACUGGACUGAGCCGGACUGAGACUGCUGUGGGGUCCCCCAUGAAAAGACCACAGACCCCUCAUAGCUUCAGCCCUUGGGGGCACCAGCUGCCCAGACUCCAGACAGGGGCCCUGGACAGCUGUCCUCGAGGGCCUGGUGGCUGCACAGAUGGUCACAGGAAGGGAAGCCCGCGCUGGAGGACUCCCAUCUGUCUCUGACCUGGUCGCGGCUCCCAGGGCCACACCGGCCGCCCUCGCCAUGACCCGGAGCGAGCGCAGACCCCUGGCUUCGGGACCGCCCUUCCCCCUCCACGCCCCGCUCAGCUCAGCUGCCAGUGCUGACCUUUCCGCUGCUACAUGGUUCUGUGCAGAAAGAAAAAAAAAAGUCUUUUAAAGCAAAAGCCAAACAAAAAAAAAAAAAA